UGCAUACUCCCUCCGUCCGAAAAUACUCGUCGGAGGAAUGGAUGUAUCUAGAUGUAUUUUAGUUCUAGAUACAUUCAUUUUUAUGCAUUUCUUCGACACGUAUUUCCGGACGGAGGGAGUAUCUU
This is a non-coding RNA of Triticum aestivum (bread wheat), 125 nucleotides long. Lineage: Eukaryota; Viridiplantae; Streptophyta; Magnoliopsida; Poales; Poaceae. The record is from Rfam.